This 679-nucleotide ribosomal RNA is filed under the name Pantoea sp. 15T13. Its description in RNAcentral is "bacterial SSU rRNA". It matches the Rfam family "Bacterial small subunit ribosomal RNA", at positions 56 to 726 of the family's 1533-position model. Lineage: Bacteria; Pseudomonadati; Pseudomonadota; Gammaproteobacteria; Enterobacterales; Erwiniaceae. The record is from RNAcentral.
UGUCAGUCGAACGGUAGCACAGAGAGCUUGCUCUCGGGUGACGAGUGGCGGACGGGUGAGUAACGUCUGGGAAACUGCCCGAUGGAGGGGGAUAACUACUGGAAACGGUAGCUAAUACCGCAUAACGUCGCAAGACCAAAGUGGGGGACCUUCGGGCCUCACACCAUCGGAUGUGCCCAGAUGGGAUUAGCUAGUAGGUGGGGUAAUGGCUCACCUAGGCGACGAUCCCUAGCUGGUCUGAGAGGAUGACCAGCCACACUGGAACUGAGACACGGUCCAGACUCCUACGGGAGGCAGCAGUGGGGAAUAUUGCACAAUGGGCGCAAGCCUGAUGCAGCCAUGCCGCGUGUAUGAAGAAGGCCUUCGGGUUGUAAAGUACUUUCAGCGGGGAGGAAGGCGGUGAAGUUAAUAGCUUCACCGAUUGACGUUACCCGCAGAAGAAGCACCGGCUAACUCCGUGCCAGCAGCCGCGGUAAUACGGAGGGUGCAAGCGUUAAUCGGAAUUACUGGGCGUAAAGCGCACGCAGGCGGUCUGUCAAGUCGGAUGUGAAAUCCCCGGGCUUAACCUGGGAACUGCAUUCGAAACUGGCAGGCUGGAGUCUUGUAGAGGGGGGUAGAAUUCCAGGUGUAGCGGUGAAAUGCGUAGAGAUCUGGAGGAAUACCGGUGGCGAAGGCGGCC